AGAUAAUGGUGAGGGCAAUUUCUGAGUAUACUUUUAAAUCUCUCCUAAGCUUGGUAGAGAUUCUCUCUUUUUUUUAUCUAAAACUCUGAAUCUCGCUUCUCAAGCG
This 106-nucleotide small nucleolar RNA is filed under the name Capsicum annuum. Its description in RNAcentral is "Plant small nucleolar RNA R71". It matches the Rfam family "Plant small nucleolar RNA R71". From Rfam's summary of the family: R71 is a member of the C/D box family of snoRNAs containing the C (UGAUGA) and D (CUGA) box motifs. Multiple nearly identical copies of this snoRNA have been identified in Arabidopsis, and it is thought to function as a 2'-O-ribose methylation guide for 18S ribosomal RNA. The record is from Rfam by way of RNAcentral. Lineage: Eukaryota; Viridiplantae; Streptophyta; Magnoliopsida; Solanales; Solanaceae.